GACGAAAAAGCCAUUCAAAGGUUGUGG
This 27-nucleotide non-coding RNA is filed under the name Cricetulus griseus (Chinese hamster). Lineage: Eukaryota; Metazoa; Chordata; Mammalia; Rodentia; Cricetidae. The record is from RNAcentral.